Molecule: long non-coding RNA, 699 nt
Filed under: Homo sapiens (human)
Lineage: Eukaryota; Metazoa; Chordata; Mammalia; Primates; Hominidae
Description: HSALNT0364381
Source: RNAcentral
CGGGUUCUUGAAGAUGCCGGCCUCCGCCCAGCCGCCUGCCACGAAGAGCACCGCGCAGUCGGCCUGCACCGCGGGGAUACACAAACACACCGGGUUGCGGGAGGGGGCAUCGGACUGACUUUGGGAGGUUCCGAAUCCCAUUGUAAAGCUGGGGAAUGCCCUCCAGAACUCAGAUGGCCAAAUGGGAUUCAUGGACCACCCUAGAUGCGGUGCAUGGGGGUCCUGCUUCCCAGUUCCUCUCAUUUAAUCUCAUCUAAAUCAGCUUUUAGUCCCUUCUUUCUGGACCAACUGAUCUACUAGUCUGAGUGUAAGAAAACCUGGUCCCUCUAGGCCCCCCCAGGACAACAGGAUCUGAGCUUCAUGAGAGUGAUGGGACUUUCAGUCCUGUCCUCCCUAAUUCUUUCAGGAUUGAUGGAUGAUGGCCAUAGGAAUGUUUCUGAAGGCAUGGACUGCUUUACCUGGGAAGUGCCCCUGAUCAUGGUCAUGAUGAAGUCUCUGUGGCCUGGAGCAUCGAUGAUAAUGCUGUAGUAUGUGCUAGUCUUGAACUUCCACAGGGAGAUAUCAAUGAUCCUUUUCCUUCCCGUCUCCACAUGUCCAGAAGUUUGGUCCCCAUAAAAUUACAGUGGGCUGGGCACAGUUGCUCACGCCUGUAAUCUCAGCACUUUGGGAGCCUGAAGCAGGAGGAUCACUUGAACUUAG